CUGAGAUUUUUGACAAUAUUGGUGCUAAUGCUAUCACUUCACGCAGUGGUUUUUUGUGUUCCAAUUGUAAAGCUAAUUGGGCGCAGCCUACUGCCAUUGAGUAAUUUUCCAAUGAAUGAAAGUGCAAAAGCGGAAUUUUCUGAGGUGUCCUUAGCCGCAGACGUGUUUUGGAGCUAAAAAGAAUUACAUUUUGUACUUGGAAUUACUUGAACAUACUUCAAUCAACACUUGAAACAUACUUCAAUCUAAUCUCAUAACAGCAAGAACACUCACAAGGCCACCAUAAUUCGAAGUGAUCACAUCAAUGGACAAAGCAGGGUUAGCUCGUGCCAGUAAACGCUUCAGAGUUCAGCUGGAUUUCAAUUUUACUUCUUUCAAUUUUCAACUAUAGUUUGUGU
Anastrepha ludens (Mexican fruit fly) is the source of this 398-nucleotide long non-coding RNA. RefSeq lists it as uncharacterized. The record is from RefSeq and is a predicted model, not a curated record. The transcript has 3 exons. Lineage: Eukaryota; Metazoa; Arthropoda; Insecta; Diptera; Tephritidae.